Molecule: non-coding RNA, 250 nt
Organism: Pelobates cultripes (western spadefoot toad)
Lineage: Eukaryota; Metazoa; Chordata; Amphibia; Anura; Pelobatidae
Source: the annotation of a GenBank genome assembly
GCUAAGGGUUCUGUCUUGCCCGGGUCUGCCUCUUGGGCGGUUAUGUCCUGGUAUUAGUCCAAAACUCUGUCCAGGGUUCCCAAGUCUUGAGGUGUCUAUUACGUUUCCCCAUUAACGACCAGUGGAUGUCCUCUAUCUCCCUCACUCCCUCUACCUUUUGUACCCAUUGCUCCAUGGUCGGAAUGCUAGGUUUACGCCAGUACAGUGGGAUCAGGGCGUUUGCCUCCCCUAGCAAAAUGUGCAGUAAGUG